Molecule: transfer RNA, 91 nt
Filed under: Nelumbo nucifera (sacred lotus)
Lineage: Eukaryota; Viridiplantae; Streptophyta; Magnoliopsida; Proteales; Nelumbonaceae
Rfam family: tRNA
About the family: Transfer RNA (tRNA) molecules are approximately 80 nucleotides in length.
Source: Rfam by way of RNAcentral
CCGACUUUAGCCCAGUUGGUAGAGCGGAGGGCUAUAGUGGGAAGCACCCUUCACCAUCAUUAGGUCGCUGGUUCGAAUCCGGCAGGUAGGA